GGAGAGAGGAUGCAACAUUAGAGUGGCCUGUAAUGAUGCGUGGGUGGGUUGCAACUGAAGGGUGGGGGCAAGGGCCCAAUUGUUGGGUGGGGGUAAUCAGGUUUGUGACAUGAGGGAGGAGAGAGGAUGCAACAUUAGAGUGGCCUGUAAUGAUGCGUGGGUGGGUUGCAACUGAAGGGUGGGGGCAAGGGCCCAAUUGUUGGGUGGGGGUAAUCAGGUUUGUGACAUGAGGGAGGAGAGGAGAGGGAUGAGUGUUGGUAAUGAUAGGUUUUUAGUCUUUUUGGCUAUGACUAAAGACUAAAUAUGAGAAAAAUGGAUGGAAUGACUGUUUAGUUGAUGAAAUCAAACUCCCUUUAAUUAUUGGAGUAAUUGUUCUUCUUCAUGAUAGUAAAAUCUCAUCAUUGCACUAUACAGAUAUCUCU
Molecule: unclassified non-coding RNA, 422 nt
Filed under: Hevea brasiliensis (rubber tree)
Lineage: Eukaryota; Viridiplantae; Streptophyta; Magnoliopsida; Malpighiales; Euphorbiaceae
Source: RNAcentral